GACUGGUGGAGCGCUUAGAAGUGAGAAUGCCGGUAUGAGUAGCGAAAGAGGGGUGAGAAUCCCCUCCACCGAAUGCCUAAGGUUUCCUGAGGAAGGCUCGUCCGCUCAGGGUUAGUCGGGACCUAAGCCGAGGCCGAAAGGCGUAGGCGAUGGACAACAGGUUGAUAUUCCUGUACCACCUCCUCACCAUUUGAGCAAUGGGGGGACGCAGGAGGAUAGGGUAAGCGCGGUAUUGGAUAUCCGCGUCCAAGCAGUUAGGCUGGGAAAUAGGCAAAUCCGUUUCCCAUAAGGCUGAGCUGUGAUGGCGAGCGAAAUAUAGUAGCGAAGUUCCUGAUUCCACACUGCCAAGAAAAGCCUCUAGCGAGGUGAGAGGUGCCCGUGCCGCAAACCGACACAGGUAGGCGAGGAGAGAAUCCUAAGGUGAUCGAGAGAACUCUCGUUAAGGAACUCGGCAAAAUGACCCCGUAACUUCGGGAGAAGGGGUGCUCUGUUAGGGUGCAAGCCCGAGAGAGCCGCAGUGAAUAGGCCCAGGCGACUGUUUAGCAAAAACACAGGUCUCUGCGAAGCCGUAAGGCGAAGUAUAGGGGCUGACGCCUGCCCGGUGCUGGAAGGUUAAGAGGAGCGCUUAGCGUAAGCGAAGGUGCGAAUUGAAGCCCCAGUAAACGGCGGCCGUAACAAUAACGGUCCUAAGGUAGCGAAAUUCCUUGUCGGGUAAGUUCCGACCCGCACGAAAGGCGCAACGAUCUGGGCACUGUCUCAACGAGAGACUCGGUGAAAUUAUAGUACCUGUGAAGAUGCAGGUUACCCGCGACAGGACGGAAAGACCCCGUGGAGCUUUACUGCAGCCUGAUAUUGAAUGUUGGUACAGCUUGUACAGGAUAGGUGGGAGCCUUGGAAACCGGAGCGCCAGCUUCGGUGGAGGCAUCGGUGGGAUACUACCCUGGCUGUAUUGACCUUCUAACCCGCCGCCCUUAUCGGGCGGGGAGACAGUGUCAGGUGGGCAGUUUGACUGGGGCGGUCGCCUCCUAAAAGGUAACGGAGGCGCCCAAAGGUUCCCUCAGAAUGGUUGGAAAUCAUUCGCAGAGUGUAAAGGCACAAGGGAGCUUGACUGCGAGACCUACAAGUCGAGCAGGGACGAAAGUCGGGCUUAGUGAUCCGGUGGUUCCGCAUGGAAGGGCCAUCGCUCAACGGAUAAAAGCUACCCCGGGGAUAACUGGCUUAUCUCCCCCAAGAGUCCACAUCGACGGGGAGGUUUGGCACCUCGAUGUCGGCUCAUCGCAUCCUGGGGCUGUAGUCGGUCCCAAGGGUUGGGCUGUUCGCCCAUUAAAGCGGUACGCGAGCUGGGUUCAGAACGUCGUGAGACAGUUCGGUCCCUAUCCGUCGCGGGCGCAGGAAAUUUGAGAGGAGCUGUCCUUAGUACGAGAGGACCGGGAUGGACGCACCGCUGGUGUACCAGUUGUUCUGCCAAGGGCAUCGCUGGGUAGCUAUGUGCGGACGGGAUAAGUGCUGAAAGCAUCUAAGCAUGAAGCCCCCCUCAAGAUGAGAUUUCCCAUUCCGCAAGGAAGUAAGAUCCCUGAAAGAUGAUCAGGUUGAUAGGUCUGAGGUGGAAGUGUGGCGACACAUGGAGCUGACAGAUACUAAUCGAUCGAGGGCUUAACCA
RNAcentral lists this ribosomal RNA (1660 nucleotides) under metagenome. Its description in RNAcentral is "bacterial LSU rRNA". It matches the Rfam family "Bacterial large subunit ribosomal RNA", at positions 1268 to 2925 of the family's 2925-position model. The record is from RNAcentral.